GCAAUGAUGAAAGCUUGGCAUUGAUCAAAUGAACUGAUUAUGCCAGUUUGUCCUCUAAGAAGUUCUGAGCCU
This is a small nucleolar RNA of Anguilla anguilla (European eel), 72 nucleotides long. RefSeq annotates it as small nucleolar RNA SNORD61. The record is from RefSeq and is a predicted model, not a curated record. The transcript has a single exon. NCBI's taxonomy places the organism in Eukaryota, Metazoa, Chordata, Actinopteri, Anguilliformes, Anguillidae.